UACGAAGGGGGCUAGCGUUGUUCGGAAUUACUGGGCGUAAAGCGCACGUAGGCGGAUUUGUAAGUCAGGGGUGAAAUCCCGGGGCUCAACCUCGGAACUGCCUUUGAUACUGCAAGUCUUGAGACCGGAAGAGGUGAGUGGAAUUCCUAGUGUAGAGGUGAAAUUCGUAGAUAUUGGGAAGAACACCGGUGGCGAAGGCGGCUCACUGGCCCGUUUCUGACGCUCAGGCACGAAAGCGUGGGGAGCAAACAGG
Molecule: ribosomal RNA, 253 nt
Filed under: uncultured bacterium
Lineage: Bacteria
Description: partial 16S ribosomal RNA
Rfam family: Bacterial small subunit ribosomal RNA
Source: RNAcentral